RNAcentral lists this long non-coding RNA (1072 nucleotides) under Ursus americanus (American black bear). RNAcentral's name for it is "lncRNA (ENSUAMG00000017595.1)". The record is from RNAcentral. Lineage: Eukaryota; Metazoa; Chordata; Mammalia; Carnivora; Ursidae.
CGUAUUUGCGGAGCCCUAUCAAAUACCAGGCUGUGUGCAUAUAUCUCCCCUAUUCUAGAAAGGCUCAUGAAGUGAAGGCCCAGCUCUGUUCCAUCCUGCAGACCUUCCUCAGGAUGGCGGGAGGCUGUGAAGAACUCACAUGCUGCGUGUCGGACUGAGCUAUCCCUAUUUCAUACUAUAAGCCAAGACUCGCUACACCGUCCUGCUGAUAUUCACAGUCGUGCCUGGGAAGGAGGCAGCCCCAUUUCCAGCACAUUUCAGUGGGAGACCUACACAUGUGCCCCCUGGAGACUUGGUGGGGCAGGGGAAGAAACUGUAGGAGUGCACGUCCCCAAAGCCGCGUCUCCACGUGUGAAUCAGUGUCACCUCGCUUUCCCCUCAGAGACCUCACUGUCCCACAGCGGGACCUGCCUGAAAAUUGAGGGGACAAGGGAGCCCCUCAGCCUCUUCCUUCUUCAGCACUCCACUCCCAGGCACCGCGGCUCCUCAGGCAGCGGAGCUGCUGAGAGCUCAGAGCUGCUGCUGCCCUGCAUGCGUCAGCUCAGCCCUGUUGUCGGCGCCAUGAUGGUCUACAGGAGGGACAUGGCAGCUUUCUGAAUGGAUUUUUCUUAAGAAAAGUGCCAGUGUUUAUGCAGUUCAUGAUAUUGCCCCAUCCCUGCCGUUAUUGUCACUUGGCUUUUUCUCACUAGGCUUCAUCUUUAUUUUUUUUUAAUGGGGAAGUUUUUCUCUCACCCCAGCAUCCUAUAUUUGGCUCCCCCUUCUCUACCCCUCCUAGAUAUAGAAUUAUGAGAUUCUGACAAAAAAAUAAGAAAAUCUUCUUCGGUAAGUCUGUGAAUUCUUCAUAUCAUCUGUAUUUUAUUGUUGGAGAGAGGCUGGUGUUCUACUUGGUUCUGCCUGGUCCCAGACAGCUCCAGCAAAAGCAGGUGUUGAAACCGAGCUGAGCGUGUGUAUCACUGUGACAAGCCAUUCGCGUCCUGCCGUAUUCCCUGACAGCCAAACCAGCCGCCGAGCAACUGUAGCCAGGUUGGUCCUUCAGCGAGUCACAAAUCACCCAGGUUUAUUUUAAACAGAC